GCUACGUUUGACCUACAUGUAUAACGCUGGGUAGGUAUAUGUAACACAAGUAGACGGAAAGAAAAGUCUCUUGGCACCAUGCUCUAAACUGUACCGGAUGUCGCCAAUAUUGAUUUCUGUUUCACUAUGUUUGUGCAAAGCUCAUCUCAUUUCCACAUACAGGUAUUCACCUGCGUUUCAUACUCCAGGCCAGCAGGUGGCGGUAAUGCACCAAAUAUAUGGAUGCAACUCGCUUUUAUACAUCAAGAAGCAGACGAACAAUAACACAGCGUGCUGACGGCGGCUGAUACUCCAGGCCAGCAGGUGGCGGUAAUGCACCAAAUAUAUGGAUGCAAACCGCUGUUUAGAGAAGAAGAAGUAUCACACUGCAGCUUUGCCGGCCUGGUCUGCAGUCUGCUCCGUCUGAGACGGUUACUCAAUGCUAUGCUACACGAGGAGCUCCAUGCUAAUGCGACCCUCCAUUCAAAUAUAUAAUGGUUUCUCCUGUUCGCCAGUCGGCAUGAACACAUAAAUACUGUGGAUAUUACGUUACAUAACCGCAGUGAAAGAACGACACUAUGGAGAUGUUUGGACUGCAGUAUAAUGAGCAUGGUUGCCCCCAGUUCCUGUGGACUGGGACCAGCACAGGACCAAGACUGCCCGACCUCCUCCAGAGCAGUGCAUCCACUGCACAGUCAUCGUAAUGGACGUGGCACUAAGGAGGAUUGUCCAGCCGCAGAUGACGCUGAAGAACCGUUACAAAACGCUAACACCAGUCUGCUUCAGCAGCUUGGUUGAAAUGGAGAUUGGAUGAUGCACUGUGCCCAACUAAUCAUACACGUGAUGCCUUGAGAGGUCGGGGUCAGAUUGCCAGCAGGUGGCGGUAAUGCACCAAAUAUAUGGAUGCAACUCGCUUUUAUACAUCAAGAAGCAGAUGAACAAUAACACAGCGUGCUGACGCCGUCUGAUACUCCAGGCCAGCAGGUGGCGGUAAUGCACCAAAUAUAUGGAUGCAAACCGCUGUUUAGAGAAGAAGGACACUGCAGCUUUGCCGGCAUAAUCUGCACCCUGCUCCGUCUGAGACGACACUAUGGAGAUGUUUGGACUGCAGUAUAAUGAGCAUGGUUGCCCCCAGUUCCUGUGGACUGGGACCAGCACAGGACCAAGACUGCCCGACCUCCUCCAGAGCAGUGCAUCCACUGCACAGUCAUCGUAAUGGACGUGGCACUAAGGAGGAUUGUCCAGCCGCAGAUGACGCUGAAGAACCGUUACAAGCCGCUAACACCAGUCUGCUUCAGCAGCUUGGUUGAAAUGGAGAUUGGAUGAUGCACUGUGCCCAACUAAUCAUACACGUGAUGCCUUGAGAGGUCGGGGUCAGAUUGCCAGCAGGUGGCGGUAAUGCACCAAAUAUAUGGAUGCAAACUGCUGUUUAGAGAAGAAGAAGAAGAAGACUGCAGCUGCGGGCCUGGUCUGCAGUCUGCUCCGUCUGAGACGACACUAUGGAGAUGUUUGGACUGCAGUAUAAUGAGCAUGGUUGCCCCCAGUUCCUGUGGACUGGGACCAGCACAGGACCAAGACUGCCCGACCUCCUCCAGAGCAGUGCAUCCACUGCACAGUCAUCGUAAUGGACGUGGCACUAAGGAGGAUUGUCCAGCCGCAGAUGACGCUGAAGAACCGUUACAAGCCGCUAACACCAGUCUGCUUCAGCAGCUUGGUUGAAAUGGAGAUUGGAUGAUGCACUGUGCCCAACUAAUCAUACACGUGAUGCCUUGAGAGGUCGGGGUCAGAUUGCCAGCAGGUGGCGGUAAUGCACCAAAUAUAUGGAUGCAACUCGCUUUUAUACAUCAAGAAGCAGACGAACAAUAACACAGCGUGCUGGCGCCGGCUGAUACUCCAGGCCAGCAGGUGGCGGUAAUGCACCAAAUAUAUUGAUGCAAACCGCUGUUUAGAGCAGAAGAAGUAUCACACUGCAGCUUUGCCGGCCUGGUCUGCAGUCUGCUCCGUCUGAGACGACACUAUGGAGAUGUUUGGACUGCAGUAUAAUGAGCAUGGUUGCCCCCAGUUCCUGUGGACUGGGACCAGCACAGGACCAAGACUGCCCGACCUCCUCCAGAGCAGUGCAUCCACUGCACAGUCAUCGUAAUGGACGUGGCACUACGGAGGAUUGUCCAGCCGCAGAUGACGCUGAAGAACCGUUACAAACUAACACCAGUCUGCUUCAGCAGCUUGGUUGAAAUGGAGAUUGGAUGAUGCACUGUGCCCAACUAAUCAUACACGUGAUGCCUUGAGAGGUCGGGGUCAGAUUGUACAUUCACCUGCGUUUCAUACUCCAGGCCUCACAACCUAAAGGAUCGUUUUGAUUUCCUCCAUCACGUUUUGGAUUUUAUACCACAAUGAUCUAGGAGCACUAGCAUAUUAAUAUUCCACCAUCAUCACGAGCUAGACAGAGCCCGGAGGAGAACUAUAAUCAUUUACAGGACAUUAAUAUCACUAACUACAUCACAUUCGGUGGCAAUAAGUACAGGUAGUAGGAAGGCCGGAGAAGGCCUCAGUUGAAACAGUGGGUAAAGUUCUUCUUCUGCCAAUCUUCCCUUCGACUAAAUUCGUUUCAAUAAACAUCUUAUCUGGUAUAAUGAUCAAGGGAUAAUAGGGACCUCUUUAUCUAGUGCAUUACCAGAAAAUAGAGGGGCUUUAGGACCCACCGAAGAGUUUAAUAAAACUAAAAGAAUAAAGAAAAAUUAUAGAAUUUAAUUGCCUCACGAUUUAUUUAAUCUUCUUUAACCAACAAACCCCUGACCUUUAUGGGACAUUAAUUAAACCCCCUCCCCAACGAAUAAUAUCACGUAAUUUCACUUACCUGUGACAACCGGAACCGGAACUGGAAAUAAUCCCCGCGGAAAAUAGCCCCCAGCUAGACGCUCGCUCCAAUUCCCGUACCCGCACUCCGGACAAGGAAGGACACGGACUCGACUGAAGAAUUAUAACGGCGAUCUAUUUCGUGUCACGGACCCGCUCCACAGACCGCAGGACGACACGGACGUGCUCCUAUACUUUGAUACGGAUGACGCUGAAGAACCGUUACAAGCCGCUAACACCAGUCUGCUUCAGCAGCUUGGUUGAAAUGGAGAUUGGAUGAUGCACUGUGCCCAACUAAUCAUACACGUGAUGCCUUGAGAGGUCGGGGUCAGAUUGUGAGUACUCCUCUGUUUUCCUGAUCCGAUGUGAGGUCAAAGGUCAGGGAUGUCUGUGUCCAGAUUGUAAUGCACUCCGAGACAAAUUUGUAAAUUGUGAAAAUGGGCUAUACAAAUAAACUGAAUUGAAUUGA
Long non-coding RNA from Pseudoliparis swirei, 3304 nucleotides. RefSeq lists it as uncharacterized. The record is from RefSeq and is a predicted model, not a curated record. NCBI's taxonomy places the organism in Eukaryota, Metazoa, Chordata, Actinopteri, Perciformes, Liparidae. The transcript has 20 exons.